This 254-nucleotide unclassified non-coding RNA is filed under the name Hevea brasiliensis (rubber tree). The record is from RNAcentral. Lineage: Eukaryota; Viridiplantae; Streptophyta; Magnoliopsida; Malpighiales; Euphorbiaceae.
AGAGUAUGCAGCAGCAACUUCAGCAGCACGACAAGCUUUAUGGCUCAGAAAACUUAUUGAAGAUUUCAGUCUUGAGCAAAAGAAAGCUACUUAAAUAUUCUGUGAUUAUCAAUCCACUAUUGCAAUGGCAAAGAAUCCUGCUUUUCAUAGCAGAACUAAGCAUAUUGAUGUACAUCAUCACUUCAUUCGAAAGCUGGUAACUGAUGGUAAAAUAGUGCUGAAAUUUCGUAGUACUAAUGAGUAAACAGCUGAUG